UGAAAAUUUGUUUAGUUUUGCAGCUCUUCAAACUUUUUUAAAAUAUCUAAAUACUUCGAGGAAGGAAAAUGAAAAUCUUACCAAUUAUAAACUAAACUUUUAAGCCACACAGCUUGGGAAUUACAAUACAAAGUAAAAAAUUAUAAACAAACAAAAAAAUUCUAACAGCGGUCGUUGCUCGACAGGCAAUUGGGAAACCACUGUCCAAUAAAAAAAAGCAUCUGCAGUUGGUAGCCGCUUCAGUUUGCGUAAGAGCAUUGAGACGCACACCACAAUUGGAGGAAAAGCACGAUGAAGAUUCAAUUGUCAAAUUUGCUGAAACAAUAGGUUAUAAAUUUUUCUUAAAGCGUGCUAUAGUUAUUUUAGAACAAAAAAUUAACUUAAAGCUUAACAACCAGCUGAAGCCGAAGUGCUUAGAAUACUUAUGAAAGUAUAACAGAUUCAUCGUAGGAGUCGUCCGAAGUUUCUUUGGUAUCCGUGAAAUGUAAUAGAGAAAUUCUUGAAAUUUUAAUCAGACUAGAAAAAUAUUCUUAAGGAGUCAACUACUGGACUUUUUCCGGACAAGAGUGGCUCAGAUUUGAUGGAUAAUAAACUAUUUACAUAUUCAUACAGUGUUACUCUCCUUCGAAAUGUAUAGGCUCUUUAAAGACUAUAAGGAAUCUGAAUAUAAAUAGUAUAUGAAAUAUUAGCUGCUCUUUUUUUAAUUUUUUCCAGAAUAGUCGGGUAGUUGUUCUAGCAACUGCAUACAAAUUCCCCAGCGAGUUUUGGAGAAUGACGCUGGGGUUACGGUCCUUGGCAGGUAUAUGUAUCUGGGCCGUUCCGACUACGUAGACCCAACUGUCGUGUGAGCGUGUUGGGUAAUUAGCCUCGCUUUCCUAGACCUUCCAGUCAAAUUCUAGUCGAGUCAUCUUCUGGACCAUUCGUUGUAGUUUUUCUCCACUGUUUAACGAGAAGAAUAUGCUUAAGGCCACGAGUGGAGAAAAAAAGAGAGUAAGAGAGAGAGUGAGGGUUUAAAAAAUUAGCGCUCAUUGCAGCCAUUGCAUUUCCUUAAGCAGCACGGGUGAAAGAGUGCGUUUCAGAGCCAGAGGUGUACAUAUAUUCUGAUUCGUGGGUAUGUAAAGGUGAGAGUGCGAGAGCGUCAGGUCAGUGUAUGGCCAUUGGGGAUUACUGGGAAAGAUUGCGCGCGCACAUGCAUGCCGACACGAAAGGCGGAGCAAGGGGGUCACGAGUGCAUACCCAUACACAAACAAAUUAAAUUUUUUUAAUUUUUCUGGGCGAGCACUUUUUACUUGCGCGCGCUGACUGUUUUGUGUAUCUUUUUUACCAACACGCAAGCACAUUUUUCAAGCGAGCAGCAAGCGCCAAUAAGUGUGAGUGCAUUCGGGCGCUGGCAGGGAGCGCGCGCACUCUCAAGUAUGGCAUGGAUAUGUACAACUUGUUAAUGCCAGUUGCAAGAUACACACAGCGCUUGUAAGCGCAUGUGUGAAUAUUUGUGUUUGGUGUGGCAGCAAAGUGCAUUUGUAUUAAUACAUACAUAUAUGCAAGCGCUUGCUUAUGUAGUGCGCCUCAAAACAUGCAUAUCUUUAUAUUGCGCCGGAGAGCGUUUGGGAGCAAUCCCACUUUUUGUGAAUGUACGUAUGCGUGAAUUUUUUAGCUUCGAUUGUACGAAGCUUACAAAAUAAAUUUCGUUUUGUUCGUGGACGAUUGCUCCCGUCUUGCAUUCCCGGUGCUUCGGCGUGCCCCCCUUCCCAAUCAACGCUUUGCUCACCAAAAUGAGCCCGCUGCGCUUGUUGUUGCAUGCAUAUGUUUGUGUAGUGAUACUUUUUUUUGCUUAGCCAUUGCCUGCUCGCCUGCCUGCCUGUGUUUUUCGAUUUUUGCCGCGCUCGUUCAGCUUCAGUACGUCGUUCACAUUUAAUCCGUUCGGUGCUUUUUGACUGUUUGGAACCUUUUUAAUAAUUACGUUGAAACGUUGUUGAUUCUUAUUAAAUAUUGUUUUGUUGAAUCUGAGGACGAACAAAAACAAAAACAAAUCCCAAUCAAAGUCAAGGAAACCAACAUAUGGAAAGGCAACUCUAGGACAAA
This is an RNA transcript of Rhagoletis zephyria (snowberry fruit fly), 2082 nucleotides long. RefSeq lists it as uncharacterized. The record is from RefSeq and is a predicted model, not a curated record. NCBI's taxonomy places the organism in Eukaryota, Metazoa, Arthropoda, Insecta, Diptera, Tephritidae.